RNAcentral lists this small nuclear RNA (113 nucleotides) under Balaenoptera musculus (blue whale). RNAcentral's name for it is "U2 spliceosomal RNA (ENSBMSG00010002397.1)". It matches the Rfam family "U2 spliceosomal RNA". From Rfam's summary of the family: U2 is a small nuclear RNA (snRNA) component of the spliceosome (involved in pre-mRNA splicing). Lineage: Eukaryota; Metazoa; Chordata; Mammalia; Artiodactyla; Balaenopteridae. The record is from RNAcentral.
AUCGCUUCUCGGUCUUUUGGCUAAGAUCAAAAGUAGUAUCUGUUCUUAUCAGUUUAAUAUCUGAUAUGUCCUCUAUCCGAGGACAAUAUAUUAUUAGAAAGGAAUGAAGUACU